This 506-nucleotide ribosomal RNA is filed under the name uncultured bacterium. RNAcentral's name for it is "partial 16S ribosomal RNA". It matches the Rfam family "Bacterial small subunit ribosomal RNA", at positions 29 to 523 of the family's 1533-position model. The record is from RNAcentral.
AGUGAACGCUGGCGGUAGGCCUAACACAUGCAAGUCGAACGGCAGCACAGGAGAGCUUGCUCUCUGGGUGGCGAGUGGCGGACGGGUGAGGAAUACAUCGGAAUCUACUCUGUCGUGGGGGAUAACGUAGGGAAACUUACGCUAAUACCGCAUACGACCUACGGGUGAAAGCAGGGGAUCUUCGGACCUUGCGCGAUUGAAUGAGCCGAUGUCGGAUUAGCUAGUUGGCGGGGUAAAGGCCCAACAAGGCGACGAUCGGUAGCCGGUCUGGAGGGAUGAUAGGCCACACUGGAACUGAGACACGGUCCAGACUCCUACGGGAGGCAGCAGUGGGGAAUAUUGGACAAUGGGCGCAAGCCUGAUCCAGCCAUACCGCGUGGGUGAAGAAGGCCUUCGGGUUGUAAAGCCCUUUUGUUGGGAAAGAAAUCCAGCUGGCUAAUACCCGGUUGGGAUGACGGUACCCAAAGAAUAAGCACCGGCUAACUUCGUGCCAGCCGCCGCCGUAA